GAUGAACGCUGGCGGCGUGCCUAAUACAUGCAAGUCGAGCGAACGGACGAGAAGCUUGCUUCUCUGAUGUUAGCUGCGGACGGGUGAGUAACACGUGGAUAACCUACCUAUAAGACUGGGAUAACUUCGGGAAACCGUAGCUAAUACCGGAUAAUAUUUUGAACCGCAUGGUUCAAAAGUGAAAGACGGUCUUGCUGUCACUUAUAGAUGGAUCCGCGCUGCAUUAGCUAGUUGGUAAGGUAACGGCUUACCAAGGCAACGAUGCAUAGCCGACCUGAGAGGGUGAUCGGCAACACUGGAACUGAGAAACGGUCAAGACUCCUACGGGAGGAAGCAGUAGGGAAUCUUCCGCAAUGGGCGAAAGCCUGACGGAGAAACGCCGCGUGAGUGAUGAAGGUCUUCGGAUCGUAAAACUCUGUUAUUAGGGAAGAACAUAUGUGUAAGUAACUGUGCACAUCUUGACGGUACCUAAUCAGAAAGCCACGGCUAACUACGUG
RNAcentral lists this ribosomal RNA (497 nucleotides) under uncultured bacterium. RNAcentral describes it as "partial 16S ribosomal RNA". It matches the Rfam family "Bacterial small subunit ribosomal RNA", at positions 28 to 507 of the family's 1533-position model. The record is from RNAcentral.